This 491-nucleotide ribosomal RNA is filed under the name uncultured bacterium. RNAcentral describes it as "partial 16S ribosomal RNA". It matches the Rfam family "Bacterial small subunit ribosomal RNA", at positions 29 to 507 of the family's 1533-position model. The record is from RNAcentral.
AGUGAACGCUGGCGGUAGCCUAACACAUGCAAGUCGAACGGCAGCACAAUAAGAGCCUGCUCUUACGGGGGGCGGGUGGCGGACGGGGGAGGAAAACAUCGGAAACUACUUUUUUGUGGGGGGUAAAGGAGGGGAACCUACGCUAAAAACGCAUACCGCCUACGGGUGAAAACAGGGGAACUUUCGACCUUGCGGCAAUGAAUGAGCCGAUGUCGGAUUAGCUAGUUGGCGGGGUAAAGGCCCACCAAGGCGACGAUCCGUAGCUGGUCUGAGAGGAUGAUCAGCCACACUGGAACUGAGACACGGUCCAGACUCCUACGGGAGGCAGCAGUGGGGAAUAUUGGACAAUGGGCGCAAGCCUGAUCCAGCCAUACCGCGUGGGUGAAGAAGGCCUUCGGGUUGUAAAGCCCUUUUGUUGGGAAAGAAAAGCAGCAGGUUAAUACCCCGCUGUUCUGACGGUACCCAAAGAAUAAGCACCGGCUAACUUCGUG